RNAcentral lists this ribosomal RNA (483 nucleotides) under Graphis macrocarpa. RNAcentral's name for it is "eukaryotic LSU rRNA". It matches the Rfam family "Eukaryotic large subunit ribosomal RNA", at positions 143 to 642 of the family's 3401-position model. The record is from RNAcentral. Lineage: Eukaryota; Fungi; Ascomycota; Lecanoromycetes; Ostropales; Graphidaceae.
UAGUAAUUGGGAGGAGGUGUUUCGGAAGAGAUGAUGGUUCCAGUCCCUUGGAACAGGGCGUCACAGAGGGUGAGAAUCCCGUACGUGACCAAUUAUCGAUUCCAUGCGAAACCCUUUCGACGAGUCGAGUUGUUUGGGAAUGCAGCUCUAAAUGGGUGGUAAAUUUCAUCUAAAGCUAAAUACCUGCCAGAGACCGAUAGCGCACAAGUAGAGUGAUCGAAAGAUGAAAAGCACUUUGAAAAGAGAGUCAAACAGUACGUGAAAUUGUUGAAAGGGAAGCGCUUGCAAUCAGACUCGUUUGCAGAAGCUCAGCCUUCCUUCGGGAUGGUGUAUUCUUCUGUCAACGGGCCAGCAUCAGUUUCGGCGGCUGGAUAAAGACUUUGAGAAUGUAGCUCUUUUCGGAGAGUGUUAUAGCUCGGAGUGUAAUGCAGCAGCUGAGACUGAGGUCCGCGCUUUUGCUAGGAUGCUGGCGUAAUGGUUGCU